GCUAGCCAACGCUGCCCCGAGAAACUUCAAUAUGAAGCAGACGUUCAGACAUAGUCGAAGCGAUUCCAUUUCACGCCCGAUUAUAUCACUCAACGUCGGACAU
RNAcentral lists this small nucleolar RNA (103 nucleotides) under Drosophila mojavensis. RNAcentral's name for it is "snoRNA:GI25341". Lineage: Eukaryota; Metazoa; Arthropoda; Insecta; Diptera; Drosophilidae. The record is from RNAcentral.